UAGCUAAGCUAACCCACAGCCUAGCUAACGUUAGUUUCAUUACUUGCUGUGUCGCUGUUCGCUCUACAUCAUGGUAUUUGUCAUUGUAUUGUAUUUCUCCAGAAUCGCAUUCCCAACUUUAAGUGACUUUAGAUUUGGCUGAUGUGAUUCCUCUCAAACCUGAUUUAAUCUGACUGAUUUCACUUAUUGUUAUGAUUUGAUUGAUUUCAAACCUGAGUUGAUUGAUUGAAUUUAUUUGAUAAAUAAAAAUUCACAAUAACAUUUAUCUUUAUGACGUGAUUGAUUAUAAACUUUAUUGAACCUCGUGUCUGAUUUAUUUGAGUCCUGUUUGAUUCCAGCUGAUGGUCCACCUGACUGGUUUUAUACCUGAUGUGUUGUUCAGACUGAAGGUGACCGAGCUUUGCGUCUCUGUAAAGAUCAUCGAGCUCUGACUGAAGUCUGAUUCUCAGCACAACUCAAGAACGUUACAAACAUCAGACCGGAUCAGCUUUUUUCACUUCAGCUGUUUCAAAUUUCUUUCCUCUUUUAAAAUACAGAUAAAGAGAUGAAAUCACACUCAGAGAGAUAACAAAGAUCAGACAUAAGUGAGAUAAAGUGACUUCAAAGGAAGUUCAAGACAACAUAGUUUGAGUAACAUGCAAAUGGCAUGAUGUGGGUUAUGAUGUAAAUGAUUUCAUCCUGCAGGUCUGACAUAAUAAAGUAGAUUUUAAAUAUUGAAGCAAAAAGAGAAGAGAUCAGAGCUGAUGUAGGAAAAAGAAUAAUGUAAUUUACAGAGGAUGUAGGGUGGAGAGAAGAUGUGAUGUAACUCAAAUAAAAUACAAGAUAAGACAUGAUGAGAUCUAGAAUCAGAUGUGAUGAGGGUCAGAGUUUGAAUAUUAGAUGAUUUACAGUAGAGAUGAUAAAGGGCAGAGACGGAUGUGUUUCAGAGACAAUGGUGGUCUGAUGUACGCGGUGUAGGUGUCAAACAACAUGGAUAUUGCAGAGAAUUAAGUUUUAAUUUGACAUAGUUUUGUAAUUAUGAGGUGAUGUAGGUUUAGACUGAUGUAGGUUUGAGGUGAUGUAGGUUAAGACUGAUGUAGGUUUAGAGUGAUGUAGGUUUGAGGUGAUGGAGAUUAGAAAUAACUGAUAUCUUUUUUUAGCGAUGAAAUAGGACAGACGGAUGUUGCGGAGGUUGGAGAAGGUUUAGACAUGAUGGAGGUCUGAAACAAUGUUGCGUUUAGAAGAUGUGUGUUUCCGACAGACAACGUACGACUGUAGGUUUCAUAUGUAGGUUAGAGACAACAUGGCCAUUUAAUACCUUAUGUCUGAGAUGCCAUGAUGCAGCUUUUCACCUUCCAUUCCAGAUCCUGCCCCACCCGCUUCCCCACCUGCACCUCAUUCCCUCAUCAGCUGCUCUCUGUAUAUACCGGCCCAGAUCCUUUGUUCCUCUGCCAGAUCAUCCAAGUUGAACUGUGGGUUUCUUGCCUUCUGUUAUCUGUACCUGCUUGUAAGCCUGUAAAAACCUUCAUUGUGCCUGGUUGUUUGCAUUUGGGUCCUAUGACAUGACAGUAGGUUUGACAAGAUUAAAGUGUUUGUUUCGAAAUGAUGUAAUUUUUGGUUUGAUAUGCAGAUGUGAAAUGAAAAAUGUUGUGGGUUAGAGACGAAUGGGAUUCAGAUUCAAGUUUACAAAAUGACAUCAUAAUGAUGACAAGGAGAGAAAGAAAUAACAACAACACUCAUUCUUAGUUAGAAAUGAUAAUGUUCUGUUGGCAGUGUGGUGUUUUUACAAAUCUGUAUUUUCACUGUAACAAAAAUCCUCUCUGCAGCAUCAUUGUUUGUUUGGCUUUUUGAUAGUAUGGGACUGCAUACUUUGUCCUCCCCCUCUCCCCCCCUCUCUCCCUCCCUCUCAAUGUGUGUGUGGGGGGGCUACACUUUAAGCUGGUGUGCUGUCAGGCUUGUUGCAGUUUACCAAGAUAAAACCUGUUAUUUUUGUUAUUUGAACUGUCCCUUUAUUUUGUCUGGAUUUGUAAUGCAGAGAGCAGAAGUGGAAAAUGGUUUUAUAGUUGCACUGUAUGAUGUAGCCUCCUAUCUGCGUUCUAGCACACUUGAAUUGUUGAUUUAUUAUUAUGUCAUUGAAAAAUUGUGAUGAACCACAAUACUGUUGCUAUUGUUUAUGAAUUAAUUUGUAUUGUUUAUUAUAGAUAUUUGGGUGUUUUUUAAAUCAAUUUGGGCGGAUUUUGAGCAAUUAUUGGGCUGGUUAACAUCAAACCAGUCUGACAACACUGAACAACAGUUUCUGUCUUUCUACUUUAAAUCAUACAAAUAGAAUCUCUAUUUUCUGCUCAUAAUAUUACUCAUCCAAAUAUUAAUAUCAGUGAGAUUUAAAAGAGCAUUCAAAGAACUGGUGUUGUCUGGUGAAACAGAUGUACAGUCGUGUGUCAUCUGCAUAAUCACUGAUAAUGUUACUAAAAUGGAGAAUGUGUUAAGUAAACAGAUAGAGGAACUCCAUAAUCAAUAUCAAGGGAUGGGAGGUCCCGGUGGCCUAGGAACACCAUGACCUUGUAACUGUAACAUCCCUUGUUCGAUUCCAGCUGGGAACCUUUGUUGUGUGUCACUAUAUACAUAUAUAUUUAUAUACAUAUAUAUAAAUCACUUCGACUGACAACAAACGUUCUUCCUGACGUGUAAAUGAAACCAGUUCAUGUUAAUGGAGGUUAUGGAUUAGACAAGACGAGGCGCUGUAACAUCAUGUAGGUCAGGGUGAAUUCUUAGUGGUUCAACUGUAAACUUUCCACACACUUUCACGAGUUGACGAAUGUUGGAUUCAUUGAUGUUAGCGUUUGUUAGUGACUUUAUCACUGUACUCAUGCUUUAAAAUGUCCCUGUAUUGUAGUUUUGUUUUGGGUCCAGAUUGAAUUGUAUGUUUUGAUCAGAGUGGUUCUGUUCAGUAUUUCGGUUCUAGGUUUUAAAUAAUGAAGGUUUGAGAUCGGUGUCGGUUAGACUUUAUUUAUAUAGCCCAAUAUCACAAAUCACAAAGUGUAGACAACACCCUCUGUCCUUACACCCUCGAUCAGGAAAAACUCCUCGAAAAACCCUUUAACACGAAAAAAUGUUAGAAAGCUCAGGAAGAGCAGCAACAGAAAGUCAUAGUGUUUACAAUUAUGAAACCACAGAGACCUGCGAAACACACAAACACACAGAAUGACACACUGACUGUGUGUUUUCUCGCUGUUUAAAUGCUUCUGUAGUUUAAACUGACUGACUGAAUGAAUGAAUGAAUGUUUUUUACCGAGUCAGCCGUGUGUGUGUGUGUGUGUGACAGCUGGCCCAUCUGUGACAUCUGGGAAACCCGCCGGUGUGCCGCCGCAAACGCGGUUGAUGUCGCUAUUUAAAUGCAAAUGUCUGUGUGUGAGUGUGUGUGUGAGUGUGUGUGUGUGUGUGUCGAGCGCUCGCACCGUCACACACACACAAAAGGAAACACUUCACACACAAUAAAGGGUUUAACACACACACACACUCACACUGUGACUCGUCUGUAAAUCAGAUGAUAAACUGCAGAAAAAACAAUAAUUCAAUUAAAAUGAUGUUUGUUCAUUUGUUAAUCACUGUUGCUUUUAUAUAAUCGUCGACAUGAUAUUAAUGAUUUAAUGUCGUAAUAAUUUGACCUCUUUUGUUCAACAUCAGUCUGCUGUUAAUUUCCAGGUUUAAAAUCAGUCGAGUCAAUGAAAUAAAACAGAAAAUACAGCUGAGAUUUAUUUAUUCAGCGUCUGAGAAAAGAGAGCUUUAUUGUCAAAUGAACCAUUUUAACACAAAAUCAGAGACAAACAAUACAACUCAGAAAAGACGAUGAAAGAAAUAUAAUACUUUUGAAGAGAUUUCGUGUUAAAUAUGACAAACCUCUAAUUUACUGCAUUAAAUGCUUUUGUUUAAGGUGGAAUGAAUUUAGAUUUUCAGAAGUGAAGACCUUUUUUCCUUCAUCAGAAAAACAGAAAGGUCACAGCUCAUAAAAAGUGUAUUCAACUGAAAAUCCUCUGAAUUGUAAUGUAGACAAACGUUGUAAUCUUUCCUGCCAGACAGAAUCUCAUAGAGAAAACAAGCGACUUUAUGAUAAAACAGUAAAUCUCCAUUCACAGAAAUAAACGUGCGGAUAAUUCAUCACGUCAUCUCGUCACGUCACAGUGAUCGAUCGCCUGCAGCUGAAUGGAACUGAGAUCAAAUCAUAAAACCAUCAGAUGUGAAGACCCUGAAAUAAAACAGGAGUCCAGCUGAUCUGAGUCCGCGCUGUUUCACUGCAGUCUCAAAGUUUUUAAGGUCCGAGAGGAAAACGAAGAGCAGCUCUUCUUCCGUCUUCUGCUUCUUCCAGUAUUUCUGUGUUUGAUCAAUAUUUCUGUGUUUGAUUUUUGGGCCGUUGACACUAAACUUUAACACGUUUCUGUUGUUUUAUGACUGAACAUAAAGAAAUGACAUGUGCACGCGGGAUGAAUCCAUCUCCAACACGUGCGUUUCUCUGUUUCUCCUGGCUUUUGUUUCCAGCGCGUUUUUUCUUUUUGAAAUAUUCCAGCACUGAGAUUCAUUUC
Siniperca chuatsi (mandarin fish) is the source of this 4556-nucleotide long non-coding RNA. RefSeq lists it as uncharacterized. The record is from RefSeq and is a predicted model, not a curated record. The transcript has 2 exons. NCBI's taxonomy places the organism in Eukaryota, Metazoa, Chordata, Actinopteri, Centrarchiformes, Sinipercidae.